UCUGAGAGCAUUUAUAUCCCUGUGAGUUUAAAACUUCAUGACUGAGUGCUGUACUUCCUUACAACAGAACCCACAACAACCAUGACUUUUAUCACCAUCUUCAUCUGGACACUUGCUCUCUGCUUCAAGGAAUCCAGAGGACAGAUCACUGUGACUCAGACUCCUGAAAUUAAAGCGUUCCAGAAUGGAGACGCAGUCACUUUAAGAUGUAGAUUUAACAAACCUCCUGCUUGUAGUCCCCCUUGUGUAGCCUGGUACCAACAGAAACCUGGAGGAGCUCCUAAACUCCUUAUUUACCGUGCUACAACACUUCAGUCUGGGACUCCAUCUAGAUUCAGUGGCAGUGGAUCUGGGAGUGACUUCACUCUGACCAUCAGUGGAGUCCAGGCUGAAGAUGCAGGAGAUUACUACUGUCAGAGUUACCACAGUGGUAAUGUGUUCACACAGUGAUACAGAGACAUACAAAAACCUCCCUCAGUCAGACUGCACAGUGACUGUACUGAUACAGCUGGGACCUACUGCAGGUGCUGAGGGGGAAGAGACCGUGACAUGGAACACUGACUGAACUAAAAUACACUGAGAUAAAUAUAUCAGUGAUGCUGACUAUAAUGUCAACAUCCACCUUCAUGUUAAAUCAUUCCUGAACUGACAACACCCAUAGGUCCAGACUACAUAAAUAUGUCUUCCCUUUUGCUGUGGCUAACAAACCUUUUAUUAACAUUUCAGACAAUAAAAUGAA
Molecule: non-coding RNA, 739 nt
Organism: Oncorhynchus kisutch (coho salmon)
Lineage: Eukaryota; Metazoa; Chordata; Actinopteri; Salmoniformes; Salmonidae
Source: the annotation of a RefSeq genome assembly